Molecule: ribosomal RNA, 484 nt
Filed under: uncultured bacterium
Lineage: Bacteria
Description: partial 16S ribosomal RNA
Rfam family: Bacterial small subunit ribosomal RNA
Source: RNAcentral
AUUGAACGCUGGCGGCAGGCCUAACACAUGCAAGUCGAGCGGAUGAAGGGAGUUUGCUCCUGGAUUCAGCGGCGGACGGGUGAGUAAUGCCCAGGAAUCUGCCUGGUAGUGGGGGAUAACGUCCGGAAACGGGCGCUAAUACCGCAUACGUCCUGAGGGAGAAAGUGGGGGAUCUUCGGACCUCACGCUAUCAGAUGAGCCUAGGUCGGAUUAGCUAGUUGGUGGGGUAAAGGCCUACCAAGGCGACGAUCCGUAACUGGUCUGAGAGGAUGAUCAGUCACACUGGAACUGAGACACGGUCCAGACUCCUACGGGAGGCAGCAGUGGGGAAUAUUGGACAAUGGGCGAAAGCCUGAUCCAGCCAUGCCGCGUGUGUGAAGAAGGUCUUCGGAUUGUAAAGCACUUUAAGUUGGGAGGAAGGGCAGUAAGUUAAUACCUUGCUGUUUUGACGUUACCAACAGAAUAAGCACCGGCUAACUUCGUG